Long non-coding RNA from Bos indicus x Bos taurus (hybrid cattle), 1111 nucleotides. Lineage: Eukaryota; Metazoa; Chordata; Mammalia; Artiodactyla; Bovidae. The record is from Ensembl.
AUGGUGGCUGUCCGUGCCCAGAAGCUCCAUCAUGUUGAUUGGCCAGUGGCCAGCCAAUCAGAGGCUUCCCUGGGAUUCUUCUCUUGUAGUUGCUGGGUCAUGCUGUCUCUUGCCUCCAGCUCACAGACCAGGAUGAUGGUGACUUAUCUGCAACUGAGCCCACGUUCUCUCUGUCUCUGGGGAAGGAAAGAGCCCGGGCAGAGACCCACAUGGGUGCAUGUGUGCUCCUGGGAGUCUGAAAGUCCACCCACCUGCCCUCAGCCACCUCUUGUCACUGAGAGGGCCAGGAUAAGGGAUGCUGGGAGGGUGGAAGGAAGCGUGGUGUGUCCAGGCCUGAGGCCGGGCCCCGUGUUCCACUCCGCUGGGCAGAGAACUUGCUACCUGAGGUGCCUGUUCGGGAAGAAGGAGCUGAGAAGAAGGCUUUAAAAAUGCAUGCAAGAAGUAAGCAACAGCCACAAACAAAACAAAAUAACUCCUGCUUCUAGGCUGGUUUUCUCUGGGUUUCCAGAAGGUGACAAUGACCUCCAUCCCUUGCAAAUCGGGAGGAGGACGCUGUGAGAUCUGCUUUCCCCGCAGUGUCCUCGGGCCUGCAGACUUGAUUAAGAUAUUAAACAGCACACGGGUGAGCCGGGUCUCCCGGGCAGCUGCCUCUGCUGGAGUCCUCAGCCUGAUGCAAGCGCCUCCAAUCCAGGGGUGCCGAAGGCUCUAUGGGAAUGAUCUGCCUCCUGAGAUAUAAAUUCCAAUUUACUGUGACACAAACGAUUACCCUGCAAACACUGGUCAUCCGUCUUCAGGUACCUGGGGGAUGUUCUGGCUGGUGUUAUUAUCUCCUGGAAAUUAAAAUGGCCCGAGGGUGAGGAUUACUUCCUGCCAGAGCCAGGGUGUCCUGCCUCCCCUGCCCCAACCUCUGGGCCUGGGAGUGGGUGGCAGAGGCCCUGGGUCACUGGAGGAGGAGCUGUGUAGAAAGCCUGGUGGCGGGGAGGGGGUUGGAAGAAGAGGCCCCUGUGUGGAACAGAAGGCCAGGGUCUCUCCCCUGAUGGCCCCACUGGGCAGAAGGGUCCCCCUGUGGGGAGGGGUCUCCAAGGUCGUCUCCCCCCAUCUAGGACUCCCC